This 484-nucleotide ribosomal RNA is filed under the name uncultured bacterium. Its description in RNAcentral is "partial 16S ribosomal RNA". It matches the Rfam family "Bacterial small subunit ribosomal RNA", at positions 29 to 523 of the family's 1533-position model. The record is from RNAcentral.
AGUGAACGCUGGCGGCGUGCUUAACACAUGCAAGUCGAACGAGAACGGGUUAUAGCUUGCUAUAAUUGUCAGCUAAGUGGCGCACGGGUGAGUAAUGUAUAGGUAAUAUGCCUCUUACUAAGGGAUAACAAAUGGAAACGUUUGCUAAUACCUUAUACUCCUUUUAAACAGAAGUUUAAAAGGGAAAGAUUUAUUGGUAAGAGAUUAGCCUGUAUUGUAUCAGUUAGUUGGUGGGGUAAUGGCUUACCAAGACUAUGACACAUAACUGGUUUGAGAGGAUGAUCAGUCACACUGGAACUGAGACGCGGUCCAGACUCCUACGGGAGGCAGCAGUGGGGAAUAUUGCACAAUGGACGAAAGUCUGAUGCAGCAACGCCGCGUGGAGGAUGACACAUUUCGGUGCGUAAACUCCUUUUAUAUGAGAAGCUAAUGACGGUAUUAUAUGAAUAAGCACCGGCUAACUCCGUGCCAGCAGCCGCAGUAA